GCACUCGAUACGGACAACUAGAGUUUGGUAGGGAGAGACUGAAUCCUGUGUAGGCGGUGGAAUGGCGCAGAUAUCAGGANACACCAUUGCGAAGCCAGUCUCUGGGCCAUACUGACACUGAGGAGCGAAAGCGCGGGGAGCGACCAGGAUUAGAUACCCUGGUAGUCCGCGNGUAAACGAUGGGCGCUAGUUGUGGGGACCUUCCACGGUUUCUGCGACGCAGCUAACGCAUUAAGCGCCCCGCUGGGGAGUACGAUCGCAGGAUUAAAACUCAAAGGANUGACGGGACCCGCACAAGCAGCGGAGCAUGCGCUUAAUUCGACGCAACGCGAAGAACCUUACCAAGGCUUGACAUAUAGUGAAAAGCGGCAGAGAUGUCGUGUCCGCAAGGGCGCUAUACAGGUGGUGCAUGGUUGUCGUCAGCUCGUGUCGUGAGAUGUUGGGUUAAGUCCCGCAACGAGCGCAACCCUCGUUCUGUGUUGCCAGCAUUAAGUUGGGGACUCACAGGAGACUGCCGUGGUUAACACGGAGGAAGGUGGGGAUGACGUCAAAUCAUCAUGCCCCUUAUGUCUUGGGCUGCACGCAUGCUACAAUGGCCGAUACAAAGGGCUGCGAUACCGUAAGGUGGAGCGAAUCCCAUAAAGUCGGUCUCAGUUCGGAUUGAGGUCUGCAACUCGACCUCAUGAAGUCGGAGUUGCUAGUAAUCGUAGAUCAGCAACGCUACGGUGAAUACGUUCCCGGGUCUUGUACACACCGCCCGUCACGUCACGAAAGUCGGUAACACCCAAAGUCAGUGGCCCAACCGUAAGGGGGGAGCUGCCUAAGGUGGGAUCGGUGAUUGGGACGAAGUCGUAACAAGGUA
Molecule: ribosomal RNA, 862 nt
Filed under: uncultured bacterium
Lineage: Bacteria
Description: bacterial SSU rRNA
Rfam family: Bacterial small subunit ribosomal RNA
Source: RNAcentral